Rhodocollybia butyracea is the source of this 100-nucleotide non-coding RNA. NCBI's taxonomy places the organism in Eukaryota, Fungi, Basidiomycota, Agaricomycetes, Agaricales, Omphalotaceae. The record is from the annotation of a GenBank genome assembly.
UCCCUGGUAGUAUAUCGGCUAGUACACGCGCCUGUCAUACGUGGUGAAUUUCGGGGAUUCCACCGUGCGCGAAAGCUGGGUUCGACUCCCAGCCAGGGAG